UACGGAGGGUGCAAGCGUUAUCCGGAAUUACUGGGCGUAAAGGGCGCGUAGGCGGCUCGAUCAGUCAGAUGUGAAAUUCCACGGCUCAACCGUGGAGCUGCAUUUGAAACUGUCGGACUCGAGCAUAGUUAGGGAAAACGGAAUUCCACGUGUAGCGGUGAAAUGCGUAGAUAUGUGGAAGAACACCGGUGGUGAAGACGGUUUUCUGGGCUAUAGCUGACGCUGAGGCGCGAAAGCUAGGGGAGCAAACAGG
Molecule: ribosomal RNA, 253 nt
Filed under: uncultured bacterium
Lineage: Bacteria
Description: partial 16S ribosomal RNA
Rfam family: Bacterial small subunit ribosomal RNA
Source: RNAcentral